GUCCUACGGGACGCAGCAGUGGGGAAUAUUGCACAAUGGGGGAAACCCUGAUGCAGCGACGCCGCGUGAAGGAAGAAGUAUUUCGGUAUGUAAACUUCUAUCAGCAGGGAAGAAGAUGACGGUACCUGACUAAGAAGCCCCGGCUAACUACGUGCCAGCAGCCGCGGUAAUACGUAGGGGGCAAGCGUUAUCCGGAUUUACUGGGUGUAAAGGGAGCGUAGGCGGUUCAGCAAGUCAGAAGUGAAAGCCCGGGGCUCAACUCCGGGACUGCUUUUGAAACUGUUGGACUAGAUUGCAGGAGAGGG
RNAcentral lists this ribosomal RNA (305 nucleotides) under uncultured bacterium. RNAcentral's name for it is "bacterial SSU rRNA". It matches the Rfam family "Bacterial small subunit ribosomal RNA", at positions 335 to 658 of the family's 1533-position model. The record is from RNAcentral.